GACGAACGCUGGCGGCGUGCCUAACACAUGCAAGUCGAGCGAUGAAGUUCUUCGGAACGGAUUAGCGGCGGACGGGUGAGUAACACGUGGGUAACCUGCCUUGUAGAGGGGGAUAGCCUUCCGAAAGGAAGAUUAAUACCGCAUAACAUCUUUUUAUCGCAUGGUAGAAAGAUCAAAGGAGUAAUCCGCUACAAGAUGGACCCGCGGCGCAUUAGCUAGUUGGUGAGGUAACGGCUCACCAAGGCGACAAUGCGUAGCCGACCUGAGAGGGUGAUCGGCCACAUUGGAACUGAGACACGGUCCAGACUCCUACGGGAAGCAGCAGUGGGGAAUAUUGCGCAAUGGGGGAAACCCUGACGCAGCAACGCCGCGUGAAUGAAGAAGGCCUUAGGGUUGUAAAGUUCUGUUUACGGGGACGAUAAUGACGGUACCCGUGGAGGAAGCCACGGCUAACUACGUGCCAGCCGCCGCCGUAA
This 476-nucleotide ribosomal RNA is filed under the name uncultured bacterium. RNAcentral's name for it is "partial 16S ribosomal RNA". It matches the Rfam family "Bacterial small subunit ribosomal RNA", at positions 28 to 523 of the family's 1533-position model. The record is from RNAcentral.